GACGAACGCUGGCGGCGUGCUUAACACAUGCAAGUCGAACGAGUGGCGAACGGGUGAGUAAUGUAUGGGGACUGCCCGAUAGAGGGGGAUAACUACUGGAAACGGUAGCUAAUACCGCAUACUAUCGGAUAACCCAUAUGGGAUUAGCUAGUAGGUGGGGUAAUGGCUCACCUAGGCGACGAUCCCUAGCUGGUCUGAGAGGAUGAUCAGCCACACUGGGACUGGGACACGGCCCAGACUCCUACGGAGGCAGAAGUGGGGGAUAUUGCACAAUGGGCGAAAGCCUGAUGCAGCGACGCCGCGUGGGGGAUGGAGGCUUUCGGGUUGUAAACCUCUUUAGCUAUCGAACGGGUAGGUGGAGAAGAAGCGCCGGCUAACUACGUGCCAGCAGCCGCGGUAAUAC
RNAcentral lists this ribosomal RNA (403 nucleotides) under uncultured bacterium. RNAcentral describes it as "partial 16S ribosomal RNA". It matches the Rfam family "Bacterial small subunit ribosomal RNA", at positions 28 to 526 of the family's 1533-position model. The record is from RNAcentral.